Molecule: long non-coding RNA, 949 nt
Filed under: Vulpes vulpes (red fox)
Lineage: Eukaryota; Metazoa; Chordata; Mammalia; Carnivora; Canidae
Description: lncRNA (ENSVVUG00000019695.1)
Source: RNAcentral
CUUUUUGGCACAACCUGUCUGGAAAACAGCUGAAAAAUAUUUAAGUCCAGUGCUUAAAUGGCUUAGAGGAUUAUUAGUGGGAUAAAGAGUUUUGGGGCUGUAGGUGGCUGAUUCAGUGACAAACGUGGUUGAUAGUGAGUUGGAAAUCCUGGUUGAUGUUGAGCAUGAAAGUCAUAUUACUGCCUCACAGGUCUUCUCUGGCCUGAUAUUCCCUGUGGUUUCUGGUUCCUUCCCUAGGUCCCUUUACAAGAAGUCUCACAAAUUUGAGAUGAUAAAAAUGUCUCUGAGGAACAUUUGAAUGUUGGUCACAAAUUCCAAAUGGAUUUUGUUCCGCUUUCUUGAGCUGUGAAUUUCACACAUUCCUUACUUGGUCCUGACCCCGCCAAACCUCCUGAUACAGAAAAAAGCAAUGAGAGACAAAUGGCUGAAUGAAGGAAGUAACAGAAACGACAGUGUUCUUUAAUACACAAAAGCAGUCUAGAAGUCUGGAUGAAGAGGUAGAGGAGGAGGAGAAAGGAAGAAGGAGGAGGAGGAAGAGGAAGACAGGCAAGAUGACAGAUAAGACCAAGAAAAACCUAUAAGUUAGAAAACAGAUCAUGGUAGGUAAUUGACCCAGGAAAAGUCUAAGCCAGAUGAGGAAUCCAUAAUUCAAUCCAAUAUACAGUAUAGAACACCUAAAAGCCACAAGAAUUGGGGACACCAAGUAUUUCUGGAAAGUGAUAUGAGGGGGAUGGGAGACAAAAACUGGAGGGUUGUCUGAAUGUCCAUUCAAAAAAUAUCCACUCCCAUCUCUUCCCUCAUGUCAACAGUGGACUGAAACUUUAUUAUUUGGAGAAGGCAAAACAAAUUUCUGAACUGAACAACACUAGGCACAAUUAAGAGCAGAUAAUACUGAAUGAAAACAAAGAGAUUAAAUAAAACUUUACAUACUGAAUGCUGAAACUCUCCA